UGGUACUACUUACUAUCGUGAUUUUGGAUUAUUCGUCAUAGUUGAUUGUUCUUGCACAUAUCAUCUAGGUGUAUGGAAUGCUUGAUAACGACAAAUGACUCAUCGUAUUCACUUUACACUUCAAACAUUGAUCUAGAUUUUGUCCCUUGUUCUGAUUUAGUUUGUCAUGUUCUACAUAUUGUUAGGCGUAUCCAGAUUGGCAUACUUAAGGGAACAAACUAUGUAAUCUUGUGUGAGUCGUUGAGAUAGAUCACACUAUUAAUGUGAAGAUUGUUCUAGACAGCGUUUUCUCUGAACUAACUCGAUAUUUUUUGCACAAUAUAUUUAUAAGAUGGAUAAGCAUUCAUGAAUCAUCAUAUUACAUUUUCAUAUGGAGCGGUUGUAUUGUCAUAUGAGUUAUUAAUACAAAACGAAUUGUUAGGGCUUUGCACGGCUUGAUCGAUUCACUCCACGUAGACAUGAACAUUUCUUUUGGAUUUUUGUCGUUAGUUGAUCUCAGUUUGUAUAUAUUGUUUCAAAUUGUUCAGAUAGUCUCCAGGUUUCUUUUAUUGAAUUUACUACCGCCAGUAUAGAAAGCUAUUAGUACUAUGAUUGUUGAUACUGAUACGGAACAAAAAGGGAAGGCUGAGCGACAUACAGUUGAUUUUUUCUGGUAAUUAUAGAAGUGUAUUUUUUUCUAUUUUCUUUUAAGCAAGGAACCUACAGAAAAGAAAUGAAAUUUGUUCUACUUCUACCUGAUACGUGAAUAAAUGAAUUUAGGACUUAGCAUGCCUAACUGAAUGGGAACCUGCCGCCAUCAUGCAGCAAACACAAGCCAUACUGCCAAUACACUUGGCUCAUGCAACAUGCAUCCAUGAACAAAAGAAGAGCCUAUCGAUUGAUGGAAAGCGAAGUUUCUAACAAGGCCAAAAACACGACUACAUCCUCCUCCAUGUUGCUUCUCGGAGGCUAAUUAUAAUUGAAACUCCUGUUAAUCACACAUGAUGUCAUGCUAGAUUCGUGCAGAAUUUGCCGGAUCGAUUGAUCAGGAUUUGACCCUUGGAUUUUUAAUCAUGUACGUAGUAAUUUUCGUUGUACAUGGAUUAGUCAAGAUAUAGUCGAUCCACCAUCAUUACUGUGAAUCAGUAUUACAGAUUCAGAACAGGUCUUUGUCAGCGAAGGAAGUAGGAGUACCAUACAGGAAAAAGCCAGAGAGACCUCACUCUCACACAUCCACUCUCCACCUGCCUGCCUGGCUGUUAACAGUUCUUCUCCUCCUUCCUGUUGAUGUUGUGUUGAAAUACCUAACUAGCUAGCUAGCAAAUCGUAGUUGUCCUUCUCUAAAACACUGUAGAAAGUCCUAUGCAUGUAGUUUAUUAAGCAAGUGAAAUUUUAAAAGAUAAACUAUUCUGAA
Non-coding RNA from Aegilops tauschii subsp. strangulata, 1393 nucleotides. The record is from RefSeq and is a predicted model, not a curated record. Lineage: Eukaryota; Viridiplantae; Streptophyta; Magnoliopsida; Poales; Poaceae.